AGCAGCCGCGGUAAUUCCAGCUCCAAUAGCGUAUAUUAAAGUUGUUGCAGUUAAAAAGCUCGUAGUUGAAUUUCGGGAUCAGUGGGUCGGUCGUGCCACUGGUAUGCACUGGCCCUACUGGUUCCUCCUUCUUGAAGAACUGUAAUGCCAUUAAUUUGGUGUUGCAGGGAAACAAGACUGUUACUUUGAAAAAAUUAGAGUGUUUAAAGCAGGCAAUCGCUUGAAUACAUUAGCAUGGAAUAAUGAAAUAGGACGAUCGAUCCUAUUUUGUUGGUUUCUAGGAUUGACGUAAUGAUUAAUAGGGAUAGUUGGGGGCAUUAGUAUUCAAUUGUCAGAGGUGAAAUUCUUGGAUUUAUUGAAGACUAACUACUGCGAAAGCAUUUGCCAAGGAUGUUUUCAUUAAUCAAGAACGAAAGUUAGGGGAUCGAAGACGAUCAGAUACCGUCGUAG
RNAcentral lists this ribosomal RNA (450 nucleotides) under uncultured Glomeromycotina. RNAcentral's name for it is "SSU rRNA". It matches the Rfam family "Eukaryotic small subunit ribosomal RNA", at positions 569 to 1023 of the family's 1831-position model. The record is from RNAcentral. Lineage: Eukaryota; Fungi; Glomeromycota.